Long non-coding RNA from Daucus carota subsp. sativus, 284 nucleotides. RefSeq lists it as uncharacterized. The transcript is spliced from 3 exons. NCBI's taxonomy places the organism in Eukaryota, Viridiplantae, Streptophyta, Magnoliopsida, Apiales, Apiaceae. The record is from RefSeq and is a predicted model, not a curated record.
UUGGAUGUUGCUUCUAUUCUGUUUGGAUGAAAGUGUCAUUUACGUGUUUGAUUCAUUGAGAAGGGAGCGGGAUAUUCGGUUGACAACACCUACACGAACGGCAUAUAAACUGUAUGUAGCACAAGGUGGCAGGAAGAAUAACCGAAAGGAAUUUCUUUGGUGUCAUGCAGAUGUUCAGUGUCCUCAACAACAAGGAGGUACAGAGUGCGGUUUAUUUGUUAUGAGGUACAUGCAUGAAGUAUUCCUGCUUUCUCAAAAAAAUCCUAAUACCAAUUGGAAAGAGG